GAUGAACGCUGGCGGCGUGCCUAAUACAUGCAAGUCGAGCGAACAGACGAGGAGCUUGCUCCUCUGACGUUAGCGGCGGACGGGUGAGUAACACGUGGAUAAACUACCUAUAAGACUGGGAUAACUUCGGGAAACCGGAGCUAAUACCGGAUAAUAUAUUGAACCGCAUGGUUCAAUAGUGAAAGACGGUUUUGCUGUCACGUAUAGAGGGAUCGGGGCCGCAUGAGCUAGUUGUGGAGGUAACGGCUUACCAAGGCGACGAUGCGUAGCCGACCUGAGAGGGUGAUCGGCCACCCUGGAACUGAGACACGGUCCAGACUCCUACGGGAGGACGCAGUAGGAAAUGUUCCGCAAUGGGGGAAAGCAUGACGGAGCAACGCCGCGUGAGUGAUGAAGGUCUUCGGAUCGUAAAACUCUGUUAUUAGGGAAGAACAAAUGUGUAAGUAAAUAUGCACGUCUUGACGGUACCUAAUCAGAAAGCCACGGCUAACUACGUG
This 497-nucleotide ribosomal RNA is filed under the name uncultured bacterium. RNAcentral describes it as "partial 16S ribosomal RNA". It matches the Rfam family "Bacterial small subunit ribosomal RNA", at positions 28 to 507 of the family's 1533-position model. The record is from RNAcentral.